RNAcentral lists this ribosomal RNA (212 nucleotides) under uncultured prokaryote. RNAcentral describes it as "partial 16S ribosomal RNA". It matches the Rfam family "Bacterial small subunit ribosomal RNA", at positions 524 to 735 of the family's 1533-position model. The record is from RNAcentral.
UACGUAGGGUGCGAGCGUUAAUCGGAAUUACUGGGCGUAAAGCGUGCGCAGGCGGUUUGCUAAGACAGGUGUGAAAGCCCCGGGCUUAACCUGGGAAUUGCGCUUGUGACUGGCAGACUGGAGUGUGGCAGAGGGAGGUGGAAUUCCACGUGUAGCAGUGAAAUGCGUAGAGAUGUGGAGGAACACCGAUGGCGAAGGCAGCCUCCUGGGCC